UUGGACCUUUCUACACAAAGUUAUAACUAUUUGAACAUGUACUGUUUAUAUGGUCAAUUUUGUCCAAUGACAGGGUACCUAAUCCGGAUUUAACCAAAUUUUACACCAACUUGUGGUCAGUUUUAGGGCAAUGUUUCUACAUGAAAAUUAUUGCUUUGUGUCUUAAUUUUCAUUUCUAAUUGGCCUCACACUGAUUGGAGCAACAGAAUUCAACUUAUAGCAUUCUAAGUGGACAGGGGUCAAGCUGUCUAGAAUGCAUUAAGUACCUAACCAUAAUUUCAAUCACUUCCAUUUCUCAAUUCACAUUCAUAAGCACUCUAAUUGACCAAUUUAAAGAUCAAUAAUGUCAAUUGGCCAUCAAUUGACCAAUCCCCAAUUUUCCCCCAAAACCCUAAUUGUAUAACCCUAAUUUCAUACACACAUGAAAAUUCAUGCCAUGUUAUUACAUUAAAUCUUCAUACAACUUCAUAUGGACAAGUUUUCUUCAUUAAUUCCAUCAAAUCACCACAAAACCUAAGACAUCCUAGGCUGGUCGAAAUUUUAACUUCAAUAUUCAUGCAUAAUUCUUCAAUUUCCUAGGUUAUUUUCUCAUAUCCAAAUGUAAUUUCAUGCAUCCAUAAUCAUUUGGGUUAGGGAGACAACUUACCUCAAAUGGCAAUUCUUGUAUCUUCAAUUUCUUCAAUCUUUUGUCCUCCUUUUUACUUCUAAUCUCACUACUAAGACUCAAAAUAAAUUAUUCUCUCAAGAAGCUAUGGAAAUUUUAGGGAAAUUUUGGUGAUUUUAGAGCUUGAAAUGCUCUUUAAUGGAGGAAAGAAGAGAUGAAAGAGAGAGAAAGAAUGGGACGGCAAUCCUAAUGAAGAAGACCCAAAAUUUUGUCUUUUUAAUUGUGUUUAAUUGUGUUUUAUUUACUUUUAUAAUUAUCCAAUAAAAAUGAUUUAAUUAAAUAAUAAUUAAAUUUGUUUUAUUAGGUCAUGCUUGCAUAUGCAUGAUGAUGUCAUAAAGUUUUUAUUUCCAUUUUGUUUUCUUUCCAUAACCUCUUCACUUUAAAUCUAAUUUUCAUAAAUUUAAUUUCUGACAUGUUAAUGGAUAUUUAGGCCAAAAGUCACUUCUAAGAGUGAAUUGACCAAAUUGCCCCUUAUCAGUCUGAUCUGUUUUUCCAACAGUAUUAAAUUGCUUCAAGAACUCUGAUUCAAUUAUUUGAACUCGUUCUU
This 1211-nucleotide unclassified non-coding RNA is filed under the name Hevea brasiliensis (rubber tree). Lineage: Eukaryota; Viridiplantae; Streptophyta; Magnoliopsida; Malpighiales; Euphorbiaceae. The record is from RNAcentral.